Molecule: regulatory RNA element, 164 nt
Organism: Lachnospiraceae bacterium 28-4
Lineage: Bacteria; Bacillati; Bacillota; Clostridia; Lachnospirales; Lachnospiraceae
Source: Rfam
UGUUGUUUCCACUCAGUAAUUUCACUUAUGAAAUGGAGAAAAAACAGGGAAAAUUGCCACGGAGGGCAAUUUUAGGAAGCCAGGACAUGGAUGUCCUUGCUUCCGGCCCGUCCGGUUCGAUAUUCCAUAGCCAUUUCAUUAGUGAAAUCUGAGUGGAAACAACA